Molecule: non-coding RNA, 154 nt
Filed under: uncultured Ruminococcus sp.
Lineage: Bacteria; Bacillati; Bacillota; Clostridia; Eubacteriales; Oscillospiraceae
Source: RNAcentral
UUACGGUUUUUCAAAAAUUAAAAGGGAAGGCGGUUAGAGUCCGUCACAACAGCCAUUACUGUAUUUAGCCUAAAAGAAGUAAUAAGCCACUGAGUAAUUGGGAAGGCACUUCGUAAUAUAUGGCUAUAAGUCAGGAGACCUGCCGUAUCUUAUU